RNAcentral lists this ribosomal RNA (700 nucleotides) under uncultured bacterium. RNAcentral describes it as "bacterial SSU rRNA". It matches the Rfam family "Bacterial small subunit ribosomal RNA", at positions 82 to 784 of the family's 1533-position model. The record is from RNAcentral.
ACUUUGCUGACGAGCGGCGGACGGGUGAGUAAUGCUUGGGAACAUGCCUUGAGGUGGGGGACAACAGUUGGAAACGACUGCUAAUACCGCAUAAUGUCUACGGACCAAAGGGGGCUUCGGCUCUCGCCUUUAGAUUGGCCCAAGUGGGAUUAUCUAGUUGGUGAGGUAAUGGCUCACCAAGGCGACGAUCCCUAUCUGGUUUGAGAGGAUGAUCAGCCACACUGGGACUGAGACACGGCCCAGACUCCUACGGGAGGCAGCAGUGGGGAAUAUUGCACAAUGGGCGCAAGCCUGAUGCAGCCAUGCCGCGUGUGUGAAGAAGGCCUUCGGGUUGUAAAGCACUUUCAGUCAGGAGGAAAGGUUAGUAGUUAAUACCUGCUAGCUGUGACGUUACUGACAGAAGAAGCACCGGCUAACUCCGUGCCAGCAGCCGCGGUAAUACGGAGGGUGCGAGCGUUAAUCGGAAUUACUGGGCGUAAAGCGUACGCAGGCGGUUUGUUAAGCGAGAUGUGAAAGCCCCGGGCUCAACCUGGGAACUGCAUUUCGAACUGGCAAACUAGAGUGUGAUAGAGGGUGGUAGAAUUUCAGGUGUAGCGGUGAAAUGCGUAGAGAUCUGAAGGAAUACCGAUGGCGAAGGCAGCCACCUGGGUCAACACUGACGCUCAUGUACGAAAGCGUGGGGAGCAAACGGGAUUAGAUA